CACCUCGUUAUAGGUUUAAUUAAACUUUAGCUCGCUGGAGAGAGUGAGGGGAUCAGAAUUCCUGGGUACACACCCAAGAGUGGGAUGCACAUCUGAGAGAGCUGCUGUACCACAAAGGUGCCAAUGGCUGUGCAAGCAUCCCAGGCCAGAGCACUCUGGUGGUGCUGGGUCUCAGGUGUGAGCAAUCCACACAUGCACUAUUCAAUAAUCUCAGCAAAUUGCAGCACUGUCAGGCUCAGAGUUAAUCCCUUCCUUUCAGGUAAAUGUGCUUGUGGCCCUGAUUUUUCACAGGUUGUGAGGGAUGCUGCUCAUAAUUUAUCCUGGGGGCUUGACAGGCGUUUUGGUAGAUUGUGCCUCUUGCAGAAAGACCUGAACAAAAUCAAUUGUGUUAGUCUGAAAAAUGCUGCACGAAAGAAUGAAUUCGUAUAUCUGAGCUUAAAGGUGAGCUGGUGAGUUGUCAAGUAGAAAAGAGAAGUCUUUUUCUUUUUUCUUUUUUUUCUUUUUAAUGUAGAAAAAUAGAAAAUAAGAAUGCUAAAGAACAUCCUCAGUUUUAUUUUCUAAAUAUUACUUUUUUUGCCUCAUUUAUUGUGAUCAGUUGUAGCAGGCUUCAGGUAGGGAAACAUUGUGUGAUUCCCCUUGUGCUCACAGGUGGAUCCGGGGAAUGGUUUCCUACAAAAUAUAGCAGGGAAGAUUCUGACCAUGCUGAAGUCAGUGAGAACAUUGGCAGCAAGUUCAGACAGCCUGGGGCUUUUGCCAGAGUACUCUCUGCAUCCUCCAGCCCCCUUUACGCUCCUUGUGCAUGGUCACGUCUGUAGCUGUUGGCACAACUACAGCAGCAUCCUUCAUCUACAAGGGUCCCAGAUGUUUUACUGAUCUCUAUUGAGUAUAAGAACAUCUCUACCACUGCAAUGCAGCUCCCUUCGUGGCAUUUCAGCUUAUUAGUUUUCAGCACCAUCAUACUAAGCAUGGGCAACUCUCCCAUUAAAACUUUAUGACACCUGUAGGUAAGAGAAAUUAGCUGGCACCAGUACCAAUAAGAUAAUGUAACAUCGUGAGGUGCAAAAUAUGUAGCUCAGUCCUGAAAUUUGCUCUCAGUCUGCAGGGCCUGAUCCUAAAGAGUAUUUCAAUGGACAUUCACUUGCUUAUGAUCCUAAAGAGUAUUUCAAUGGACAUUCACUUGCUUAUGCAUUUUGGGAUAAAAAGCUGCUUGUGAUUAACCUUUGUGUUGGCUUUGUGAGGUUGGUGCUCCCUGUUUUUUUUUCCUUUUCUGUUUCCUGCUGGAAGAAGAGAAAGUCCAUCUCCUCUGGGCCCUUGAUUGGCUGAGACUGUUGAGAUUUUUUGUUUGGUUGGUUAGUUGGAGUUAAAUAAAUAAACAAAAAGGCAGAGGCAGCAAAUUCGUCUUAGAAAAAUAAAUUAUAUUUUGCAUGAUCCAAAUAGAAAAAUGAAACCACAAACUCUAAGGAGAGUUUCUUGAUCUCACAGGAAUAAGGAGUUAAAAGGACUUUCUGACUCACAGUGUCCUGUUGUUUGCUACCAGGUAUUAGUAAGACAGAGCUAUUGCAGUCAUAUCUUCUAUUUUCCAGAUUCUGUUUCCUUUCAGGUCUGCCUGCUGUUGGGAUGCUGAAGCCAGGAUCUGUAUGUGACAGCAUGUAGCAACAGAAAGCCAUGACAAAUCUCUGAGUACCUUAUUACCAAUCCAAAAUUCGUAUCUUUGCCAACCUCAACUUUUCCUGCAAGCAGCAGUUUUUAAAUAGAAAAUUCUAACAUUGCGGUGUGAAAAAAGCAAAACCUCCAUGUCCCUUUGUACUUUGUAAAGAGAAGUAGAUGAGCCUUGUAACUUUCCUUCAAAACUCAGUAAACUGGGUUGCUUCUUCUUAGCAGUUUUAUCCGGGGAAAUCUGUUAGUAUUUCCACUGUCACAGCUAUAUGAAGCACAAGAAGUCACAAGUCAUCAUCUCUAAACUAUUUAAGGGCUAUGGUCUGAAAUAAAGUCAGAAGGUAACUGGAAAGGAGAGUAGGUUGCAGAGCAGGCUUCUGAUACAGAGAUUCAGGUGGGCACUUGCUAAAUGGAGGCAAGUUUUCUGCAUUACUUCCAGUCUUACCCCAAAACACCCCCUGGAAGCAGUCCUAGGUAAGAGCUAACCAUGUAAAAUAUUCCCCAGGCAUCUCAGAGAGGAUAUUUCUUUGGCAGCCUCUACAAAUGUGGCAGAAAAGACCAAUGGAAUCCAGCUUCAGCCUCCUUCCAAAUUGCUGAAAGAUGAAGGGAAAAGGUGCCAGGUGGAUUGCCAAGAUAACAAGUCAAAUGAAGACAGCUAGUGUGUUUCCCACAGACAAAUUUAGCCUCAUCUGGGAGGAAGAACAGCAGCACCUCUGGGUCCCUAGGCCAGAGGCCACACAGACUCUUCCUUGGGUAUGUUGAAACAUUUUUAUUUUUUUUAAAUAGAGGGAAAUGAUUUAAUGAGAAUUGCAGACAUUUGACAAAGGCUGAAUUCAUUUUAGUAUAUAUCAUUGUACACAUAUAUAUACCCAAAAAUAUGUACAUACUAUGUAUAACAAAUCUAUUAAGAUAUAUAUGUAUAGAUAUAGAUAUAUAUAUAUACAUAUUCACCUCAGAUAGCUUCUUGCAAGGACUUUAUCUGAGUUAUGGGUGCUAGUCCCAGCUUAGGUAUCCUUUUGCAAACCUCACCUGAGUUUAGCUUCAGCUGUAGCUUGGGCCUUCCUCAUUUUCAGAAUCUGUUGACCAUCUGGAGAGAGACCCAGCUAAUAUGAGCACCGCCUCUGCAGCUGCACCACAAAGCCUGAUGCUCCAGCAGCAUCUGCUCAGCGAGCAAGGGAGCUGCGUGUGGACUGACAUUUGCUUCUAUUGAUUUUUGUAAACAGAGAGAGAGAGAGAGAGUAUGAGAAUUCCAUGGAAUAGCAGGGAGAAAAGGAUAGUAACUUGAGAAAAGGGUAGUAACUCCUCCUAAUCUUUAUCCAAACAUUAAGUUAAUUUAGGGAUGUGGAAAAUACAAUAUCCUGCACUUAGAAACUUCAAAUAUGUGACAAGGAGUUUAAAAAUCAGAAGUGACCGCACAAUGCUGAUCAGAGCUGUCACAGAGGAGUGCAUCUUGGUAGCUUCAUUGGUUUUGUUCAUCUUGAAUACACCAUACCAGUUAUGGCUUUUAUUUUCUGUUACCCAUAAAGUCCCCUGCUUCCUCUCCUAGAAGCUGCUUGCAGCUAAAUCUAGUAACACGCUCACACACCAAAUAUCUAGAAUAUAUUAUCUCAUGCCGAGUUCUUGCUAUCUCUUCUCACUCACCCUAGCAGAGUGAAAUUUGGAUGAGGAACUAGUUAGUCGCAUGUGUUUUUCAGCACUUGCCAACAAGCAGUUACAAUUUCCAGGAACAGUCCUACUUGCAGUCUGUUGUAAAGAUUAACAUAUGGCUCAUUUUCCUGUGCUGGCUGCAGCUGCAGAUAUUGGAGAACAUAACGGGAAAUGCAGAAGGACUCUACGGAUGGUCAGCUGUAUUUCUAUACUCACUCCUGACUUAACAUGUAAUUGAAAAACUGUCUCAUCUUUGUUCUCUGUGGAAAUUACUCUCUGUAUUCACUGGAGAAGUCUGUUGUUGCUUGUAGAUAGAUGCUUCAUGCCAGCAUUCUGCUACUUGGUGUUUUUGAGUACAUCUUAUUAUAUUUGUUGCUUCUACUGUACUGUGUUAUGGGUAGAAUUUUGUGAAAAUAACUACAGUUUCUUUUCAACAUAUGGUAUCCAUAAUGUUAUUUACAUGAUUGAGAAAAUAGUAUCAUAAUUUCUUGUAUAAUGGCUCCACCUAAGUGAUGGUGACAUGCCAAGACCCCAAGGAAACAUUUUCAGAGGAGGUUCAUGUAGUGGGCCAACCAGUCUUUUGAGCUUAAAACUGUGGAAAAAUCAUUGUUAUUUUUCAGACCAAUACAUAUAUAGAUAUCUGCUUUUCAAAAGGCAUAAAGAAAUAACAAGAGAAGCAAGAGAAAUCUUGGAAAAGCACUUGGAUAUACUGUAAGAUAAAUAUACCAAUGUAAUAUAUUUGCUUGAAUUAUGAAUGUUUCCAGUAUUGGGUCAAUUAACUCAGAAUUAACUCGAUUUUUUAUUCUACUUCCUUUCACAUCUGUCUGCUGAAUUGAUAUCUUUAAAUUCUUCUCAGCAAAUUAUGAUUUUAACGUCUCUCCAAUUCAUGUGACAUACCUCUUGAAAUCCUGGCUCUACAGUUCUCUAAUAUUCAUUAAAAUACACUCAAAUACCCUUAUAGGGUAGUUUGCUUCCUGAAGACCUAAUGGUAACAGUAGCAUUAAGUUCUCGCUUUGUUUUAUCAGCCCAUGCUGGGAAAGAGGCUCUAAUGUGAUUCAUCUGCUUGUGUGGUAAUUAAAUGGAAAUUACAUUGAUGGAAGAGGGGUCACAUGCCAAUUUCUCUGCCUUGCACUAAUUUGCACGCUGUUUCAUUGACGCAAUACAAUCCUUUUCUGAAUGGACAUCUCACAAGAGAAACAAAAUGUAUCCUCACUAGCUUUUCUGCCAAAAUUUCCAUUAAAUAUGCUAAUGAGUUGAGG
Molecule: non-coding RNA, 4562 nt
Organism: Anas platyrhynchos (mallard)
Lineage: Eukaryota; Metazoa; Chordata; Aves; Anseriformes; Anatidae
Source: RefSeq, a predicted model, not a curated record